Molecule: non-coding RNA, 31 nt
Filed under: Mus musculus (house mouse)
Lineage: Eukaryota; Metazoa; Chordata; Mammalia; Rodentia; Muridae
Source: RNAcentral
UGCCAACACGGCCUAACACUCAUUUCUUUGU